AAACUUGACCGUUCGUGCCUCUCCGGAGGAAUAUAGUCAAACGAUUUAAUAAAAACAAGUUCCUACACGAUAAUUUGCGAGGAUGUCUGAGAAUUCUGGUGACUCUGAGCAGAAAAGGUGUCAAAAACCAAGCCGGAAUUGAAUGUUUGUCGGCCGAGGAACAAAUUGCAGCGCCACUGGUUAGAUGGAUUUCGGAUCAAUCAACAUCCCUUCCAGAACAACUAGCCAAAUACGUCGCAUGGAAUAUGAAUUCGCCCGUAGAUCCACAUUUAAUAACUGAUGGUACAAACUUUUACUUAUAUGUUGAAGGAGAGAUAGUGGAGUGCGGAACUUCAUCACUUCAUGCUUUGGACAUCCUCUUCAAAUGUUUUUGCGUUUUUAAGUUAAAAGUUUCACCUUCUUUAAAAAGGGUUGUUGAGUUUUUUGAAAUUAUCACAUAUAAAAUAAAGUCUAAUAGUACAACACAAAGUGUAAACAGACUAGUAGCUAUGUUUAGAGAAUCAAUUGUUGCAGAGAAUUGCGAUUCUGACAAUUGAUGAUAGUAGUUAAGUAAUCCUGUAUUCGUUAA
Molecule: long non-coding RNA, 568 nt
Organism: Wyeomyia smithii (pitcher-plant mosquito)
Lineage: Eukaryota; Metazoa; Arthropoda; Insecta; Diptera; Culicidae
Exons: 4
Source: RefSeq, a predicted model, not a curated record